Ornithorhynchus anatinus (platypus) is the source of this 2718-nucleotide long non-coding RNA. RefSeq lists it as uncharacterized. The transcript has 5 exons. The record is from RefSeq and is a predicted model, not a curated record. Lineage: Eukaryota; Metazoa; Chordata; Mammalia; Monotremata; Ornithorhynchidae.
GCAACCCAUUCAGUGAUGACUUCCAACUACAGAGCCAUCUGGUCAUGCUGCUGGAAGCCACUGCAAAAAGCAAAAGAGUCUUUCACCAAACCUACACCCCAGAAAACAUCAUCGGAGAGAAAAAACAGGCUGCUUGUGAUUUACCGGAGAAACGGACAUCUCUUUUACUAAAGCAAAGAAAAUAACCUCGAAGGUCUCAACCAGAAACAGUCUUGGAAAUGGAAAGGGUGAGGAACAAUGUAUGCUUAAGAGAAAAUAAUGCAGGCUCUGUUCUAGAACGCUUCGAAUGACAAUUACCACCCCGGGCCCGACGCCUGGAAUCAAUGAGAUGUGGGCGGGCCCACAACAUCUUCCAACACCUACUUGCCAAGGGAAGACCGAUGAGAUCCAUACACCUCUUGCACAUGAUUGAUCCACACAGGCGGCAGUGGUGACGGCGGUUGCGAAUGCUGAAUUUAUUCCCACAGUCUGGACAGAAGGGAACAUCCUGAUCGCUGACCCAAGGCACGACAGACUUUUCUAUUGCUUUUAGGGAAAAACCAGAACAAGAAAACUUUGAAAUGAGCUUUGCCAGGCACGAAGAUGCUCUUAACAAAACGAGUUUGACAGAAGAGCUGAACCCACCUCUUAUUUUAGCAGCCUCAGUAUUUGUUCUGUCAAAUGCCGUAAGCUGACGAGGAGAAAAUGAACUGGGAUUAUGCAGGUUUGACACUUUUGGGGGGGGGGGGGUAAAACGAGUUAUUACGCGGGAAUCCAAACAACUGCAUUUCCAAGCCCUCGAAGUGGUACCUGUACUAAACGACUACUCAAAAAAUAAUUCCACAAAACUAAAUGAGCGGUUUGAAGCAGAUGAGUAAAACAAGGCAACCCUGGAACUUCACAAUUCUUCACAAUUAGAAUGGAAUCACCAGUCUGGAGUGUUCCCUGCAUUAUAAACUUGCCCCGGUAUAUAAACUGCUCACAGAAAUACUCUAGAAUGACGCCCCCCGCCCCCACCCGCGAUUUGUCCCAUCGUCAUUAGCACAGUAUCCAGAAGACAUAACAAACUAUGUCCAAUUGGGGGGUUUCAAUGGGACACGCAGAGGAGGAGCCUGUGAUCCUCACUCAAAGCCUAAAGGUCUUUCAGGGUCAGGAUUCUAGUUACAGUCAGACAGUGGAGGAAAGACGGUAAAAAUAUGAGUGUCGACCCUCUGGUUAAACACAAAUCAAGAGAUUCAGUGACUUCUCUGAGCUUCCACGUCCUCUCGAUCUCGGUGUGAAGCGUGGAAUAUUGAUACCGUAGCAAAAGGCAUUUAUAAACAUUUCAAAUAAAAAUUUGCAGGCCUUGACCUUGCUAACAAAUCUAUACUGGAUUUGAUAAAUCAAAACAAAAAACCCCCACAAAUUUACCUUCUCUAACCUGAUUAUUAAUUUAUUGACUUCAACAACAUAGUGGUCGAUUCUGGCAGCUCGGUGUUUUUUAAAGUCGGAAAGAUGGCUUCUCACAGCACCUGGGGGAGGGGUGUAGGAAAAGAAACAACUUAAGUCUCCCGAUUUAGCCUUACGACCUUGAAUGGUCCAAAUUUAAAGAAAUCUUUCAUCUCUUUCACUGGCUACACCCUUCCUAAGUCCAAACGUAGCUUAACUAAGGGCCCUGUCAAAUGGCGGAAAGCAAGUGGAGGGAGGAAUCCGAAGGAGGUAGAGGAUGGUGGAAGAUACCAUAGGGCAAUGGUGUGAAGGGAAUUUCAGAGAGGGGAGGUAGUGAGAGGUAGUCGGCUGUGGAGAAACCACUGUCUCUCCUUUCCCCUCCCAGACCUCCACGGGCAGGGUCUCUCGCCAGCCCUUCUGCCACUUCUCAGGAAGGGCAGCCGUUUGGGGUCUGACUGGUCAGAAAACAAUGGCUUUGCUGUGAUAAUACUGUCCCUUUGAAAAGCAGACAGGAAUUCUAGGGUUUUAGGGCACUCCUUUGACCUGAAACUCUGCCUUGAGGUCUGGGCCCUCCCCCAGCUGCCAUGACGCCUAAAACGCCGGAUCCCAACUUCUCCAAUGUUUUAAAAGGCAGAGAAAAAGCUAUAGCUGUGCUCAGCAGCGAACACCGACUUUUGCAAAUGUUCCAUCUGCCUCAGUCAGUGCUUAAUCUGUAAUGAAAGAGGAACCGGGGCCCAAGCAAUGAUGCCAUUUUCCAUUUAUAAUCAACAGCAAGGGGUGGAAGUCGUGCUGCCCACCUAGCGUCCAGUGCAGUUCCCCGUCCCCUCCCCUCUUCUCCUCCCUCCCACAGUGCCACAGGAGCCAAGCCUGCCUUCCAAGUUUUUAAGUUUGUCACCGAGAACUGUCUACCUGGAUGUGGUGAGGUACUGGAAGACUGCCCUCUCUCCAAGUACUCUUUACUGAUGCUUCUUAUUGCUAUUUUUACAGUUGAAUUUUGAUAGUCUCUUGUUCUGUGUUUUUGUCCUCUCCCACUUAGGCUGUGAGCCCGUGAGCCAGAGAACGGAUCUCAACCGGAUUGUGUAAUUAGUCCGGCGUUUAGUCCACUGCUCUGCAUGCAGUUAAAAACCAAGUAGAACCUGGAUUGAAAUCAUCUCUUGGAACACCAGUCCUGGUACAGCUUCCAACACAGCAUGGUCUAGUUUGUCAUCUCCAUUAGACUGGAAAGCUCCAAGAGUAGAGAUCGUGUCUUCUACUGCUUCUGUACAUGCCCCUCUAGAACGGUGUCCAAAUAAAGAUGCUAAUCCACAGACU